UGCAUGAAGUCGGAAUUGCUGUAAUCGCGGAUCAGCAUGCCGCGGUGAAUACGUUCCCGGGCCCUUGUACACACCGCCCGUCACACCAUGGGAGCCGGUAAUACCCGAAGUCAGUAGUCCAACCUCGUGAGGACGCUGCCGAAGGUAGGAUUGGCGACUGGGGUGAAGUCGUAACAAGGUAAC
RNAcentral lists this ribosomal RNA (183 nucleotides) under uncultured bacterium. Its description in RNAcentral is "partial 16S ribosomal RNA". It matches the Rfam family "Bacterial small subunit ribosomal RNA", at positions 1317 to 1500 of the family's 1533-position model. The record is from RNAcentral.